This 468-nucleotide ribosomal RNA is filed under the name uncultured bacterium. RNAcentral's name for it is "partial 16S ribosomal RNA". It matches the Rfam family "Bacterial small subunit ribosomal RNA", at positions 27 to 507 of the family's 1533-position model. The record is from RNAcentral.
GGAUGAACGCUGACAGAAUGCUUAACACAUGCAAGUCAACUUGAAUUUGGGUUUUUAACUUAGGUUUGGGUGGCGGACGGGUGAGUAACGCGUAAAGAACUUGCCUCACAGCUAGGGACAACAUUUGGAAACGAAUGCUAAUACCUAAUAUUAUGAUAAUAGGGCAUCCUAUAAUUAUGAAAGCUAUAAGCGCUGUGAGAGAGCUUUGCGUCCCAUUAGCUAGUUGGAGAGGUAACGGCUCACCAAGGCGAUGAUGGGUAGCCGGCCUGAGAGGGUGAUCGGCCACAAGGGGACUGAGUCACGGCCCUUACUCCUACGGGAGGCAGCAGUGGGGAAUAUUGGACAAUGGACCGAGAGUCUGAUCCAGCAAUUCUGUGUGCACGAUGAAGUUUUUCGGAAUGUAAAGUGCUUUCAGUUGGGAAGAAACAAAUGACGGUACCAACAGAAGAAGUGACGGCUAAAUACGUG